AUAGAAAAGAGAGACUCUUGCGGCAAUAAAAAACAAAACGUAGCGUAAUCUUCUGCUUCAACUGUAGGUGGCUGGCCCCGAACAUGGCAAUGUAUCAUUCAUGCACGCUGAGCAAAGAACACAUCGUUUUGCUUCUAAGAGAACAGGCCGCCGCAGUUCAAAGGAACGCGUAGCGAGCGCUCUACUUUUUCACUCGGAGUGGCUCCACCGCGCGCGCGCGCGCUCAAGAUCGCGGAACAACACAGCAGCGGAGAAAGGUCACGUGAGAAAGGUGAUCCGUCCACCAUAGCGUCCACCGAGCAACAGCGAAGGCCAGCCAAGGGAGAUCGUGUGUCAGCCAUCUCGCGUCGCAACGAAAACACGACAGUCGUUCGUCAUGCCUUGGAUAUAACAACAAAUCCUCCACGGCACCCGCUUUAUAUAACGCAAGAAGGCAGCUGCAAGGACACGAGGAUGUGAAAGAGCCAGUGCAGCGCGACUUCACGUAGUGCAGAGGAGCCAUUGCCAAAAAAUCAAAAUACAUUGACAUGUUAUUUGGACAAGAAAACUAGUAUGUGGGUAUAUUGGGUGUACCAUUUGACCAAAUGUCAACAAAAUCAAGAUACAGUAUGUUACACGAAGAUGAAAAUUCUCACGUGCUCCAGGCAGUCAUCUUAACAUGGUAUAUUUAUGUAAUGUCUCUGAUUGGAAAGUCAAAUCAAGUAUGCUCUCUGGAGACAAACACAUAGCAGCAAGUGUCAUUGAAAAGUUAAAAAUGUGUUUUAAGAAAGCUGAUUAGUUCUGAGAAGUGACUGCUUUUUGUCUUGCCUCUCAACAGAUAUAUCCAUGUGAUCAAAAAAUAGUGGUACAAUGAAAUUGCAUAUUUGCUUAGCGACAUGAUACAUACUUGCAAUGAGCACGGUGCCUGUGUUUACUAUAAAAAGCAGCAGCCCAUGCUUGGUUAGGUUAGGCCCACUACAACAUGCAGGCAUGGGUGAUUGGCGCUUUUUUUAUUUCUGUGUCGUGAGGUUUAUUGACGUGCGUAUAGGUGCAGUGGCACGCAGUAUGGCUAGUACAAAAAAGGGGGGGGGGCAGAUAUAUGUAGCUCACUGUACACGACACAGGGCAAAGGAAAUCCGUGUUCAGUAACUAUGUUAAAUGCCAUGUACGUAAAUUUUACAACGCUACUCGUUCGAAGCGCGCACAGGUGCAUAUUGAAGAAAAGUUUACAGGGUAGAUAAUUUAGUUUGUAAUUUACACUAAUUUUGCUCUAACCACGAGACAUAAUAAUUUGAAUAUACUGCACGGAAAAACCUAGAGCGAAUUAAAUUGUGUGUCAGCUUCGUGUGUAUACAUAUAGUCUUUCCUAUGCAUUAGGUUUUUUGCGUAAUGCAUUAACAGUUGACGGCCUAUCUUAUGAUGUGUACUCUGUUUACAUUACAGUUGUUUAUUAGUUUACUCGUUUGUUUUGCGACUGAUGAAAUGCCGGCAUAUAUAUAUUUUCAACAUUUGACACAACCCUGUAUGUUUUGCAGGGACAACCCAGGACGUGCAUUUAUCAGCACCCAGUCAACUGCCAAAAGUGACUCAAACACAGGCCACCAGUGGAACUCGGCUGUACCACUGCAGUGCUGCGGAAAUUGCCUUCACCAGCGGCUUUGCAACAGCUGUUUCGCAGCAUGUCGGAGACAAUGCCUAUGAAAUUAUUGGCCCUGAUCAUGAGAGCCCUCAAGGGGCAAACAACAUCUCUGUUGCAGAAGUGAGCCCCAUACCACUUGGAAGUUACCAUGACAGAUGACACGGCAGCAAUAGAUACAGAGACUGCCAUGUCUACUGCAGCUGCAACAGUGUACGAGGCAAGCAGCAGCGCGUCAGCAUCAGCAGCAGUGUCAGAAGGAACCACACCAGGCCUGGUAGAGCAACAUGUGUGCUAUCACUGACUUUUUUUGUAGUGGAUACAACUCAUUUGCUCAACAUACAAAAGCUUUUCACCACGACUGUGAGCCAGUGUUAUUGUGCAGCAAGUGCAAGACUAAGUUAGGUGUUAUAACACAGUACAAGCAUCACUUUAAUAUAUGCAAAUGCAAACAUAUUACAGUUGUUGCCUCCCCAGCCAGCCCACAUAGUGACAACAAUGUGGAACACAUGGUGGGACACACCUCUCCCCCAUUACAAGAUAGUAGAGACUGUCAGUGUUGUUGCUAGAUUGACUGGUCUUUGUAGGCAACUAGAAGGACAACACAGGUGUCAUAAGAUUGUUGUUGAUGUUGUUGUUGAAGAGGUAAAAAAGAAGUUUGAUGCAGCUGAAGUGCCAACUGAUAUUGAGCAAAUCAAAAGCAACCACCUGAUAAAGCAACACUAUCGAAAUUUGGGUAUAUAUGUGCCGCCAACUCUGGUAAGAAUGGCAUAGGACAGAAGUGUGAUGAAAAUCACACAGACACUGCUGUUGCAUCAUUGGCCACAGUGAGCAGCGACUUGUAGGGCAAGAGAGUCAACUGAAACUAACAUUAUGAUAUAGUGUCAUGCUCCCAUGUGACCACUUUUCAAGUUAUUUUGCAAGAUACAGCUCAACCUCCAGAAACGAGACUGCAACUUGUCUCUAAAAAAGCUUUCACAAAAAAUUAUUCAUAACACUAUUAACAUAGCAGUAUCUUUUUUUUGUGUUGGUUCGAGGUUCCCGGCUGUCCAUUAAUGCAAAAAUUGAGGAAAAAAAGAAUGUGUCGUACUUACACCUUUUUAACAAGUACGAGGGGGACAGAACUUUUCUAGUCAUGCAUCUUCAUCAUACUAUCAAGUUUUUAAAUGCCUUUUAUAAUUAUUAUUACCAUUUAUAUCUGAGUGCAUUGUAUGCAUGUAGCAGGUGUAAAAUCAGGUCAGUUGGAUCAGAUGCCUUAUCUGCAAGCGAGCCCUAUGUUCAAGAAAUUUGAAUUAAAAUAGUUACGUUAGAGACGCAGUCUUUCAGCACUUUAUUGCCUGUGGUUUAAGCAUUGCUCAAUACUUUUGUGGGUGCCAAUUUCAACCGGCACAGCACUGCGCUUUGCCACAGUCACAUUUGUCUUCAAAGCGGUGUUUACCAUUUGUUGAUCUGUUUGUGUAUGCAUAGAGCAAGUUUUUAAUUUAUAUUUUUCUGCAUUCUUGUGCUUGCACUAAGCUUGUAUAAGGCAGUUACAAAAUGUGCGUCACUAUAACGAACUGUUCUGUUGAGCUUACACUUGCAACGCUAGCUUUGUGUAUGUUCUCAUGUUUGUACAAAGCUUAUAUAAGCUAGUUAGAAAAUGUAUGUCACUAAGCAUUGUGAUAUUCUUUAAAGAACUGCUUGGUUGGUUUUACACUUGUGAAUUAGUAUUGAGGCGGUGGUAUUCCCAUGUAUGCCCACUGCUAGCUUUCUGUGUCCUCACGUGUUUGUAUUAAGUUUCUACAAGGGAGUUACAGCAUGUACGUCACUCAGCGCUGUGAUAUAUUUUAAAGAACUGCUUUGUUGGUUUUACACCUGUGAGUAAUAGUACUCGGGUGGCACUAGUCAUGUGUAGGUACACAGGGACCAUUUGUAUACAUUAUGCUUAUGUAAAGCAGUUACAAAGUGUAUGUCACUAAUUACUGUGAUAUUUGUUGAAUUGCUGUGAUGGUUUUACACAUGUGAAUAAUAGUGGUCAGGACACAGUACUUGCGGUGUAUAGUUGAAUUUAUACACUGCCAAGACAUGGGCUGUAUACGUACCAAAAGAAAUGUAUGUCAUUAUAUUGUUGUGAUUAUUACUGUUUGGAUUUCAUUAAACUGUAAUAAAAUUGUUUCUUGUA
Molecule: long non-coding RNA, 3776 nt
Organism: Dermacentor andersoni
Lineage: Eukaryota; Metazoa; Arthropoda; Arachnida; Ixodida; Ixodidae
Source: RefSeq, a predicted model, not a curated record